Molecule: ribosomal RNA, 1320 nt
Filed under: Eristalinus aeneus
Lineage: Eukaryota; Metazoa; Arthropoda; Insecta; Diptera; Syrphidae
Description: large subunit ribosomal RNA
Source: RNAcentral
AAUUUUUUUUUAGAAAAAAGUUGAUUAUUAAAAAUAAUUAUAAAAUUUAAUAGUUUUAGUAUUUUAUAAAGAAAAAAUAAUUUUAAUAAUAGUUUAUUAGUAUUGUGAAAUAAAAUUGAAAUAUAAUGAAAAAUUUUUAUGUUAAAAGAAAAUUUUAUUUAUUGUAUCUUGUGUAUCAGAGUAUAUUAAAUAAAAAAUAUUUAUAUAUUUUUCUCGAUUUUAAAAGAUUUAAUAAAUUAUAAAUUUUAAUGUAAUAAAAUUAUAUUUAAUAAUUUAUUAGAAAUGAAAUGUUAUUCGUUUUUAAAGGUAUCUAGUUUUUUAAGAAAUAAAUUUAAUUUAAUAUUCAAAAUUUACUUAUUUAUUUAUUUUAAUUAAGUAAUUUUGUAGAUUAAUAUUUUAUGGGAUAAGCUAUAAAAUAAAUUUUUAUAAAUAAUAAAUAAUAUUUAAAAUUAAAUAUGUUUAAAAGUAUCAAUUUUUAUUAAGUUUGUUAUAAAUUAAUUUUUAUUAAUAAAUUAUUUAUUAUAUUUUAAUUUUUUAUUAAAAUAUUUAUUUUAAUAUUAAAAAUAAAGUAAUAAUGAUAUAAUUAGUAUAUUACUAUUGUAUAAAUGUAUUUUUAAAUGAAAAGUUUAUGUAAAGAAUUCGGCAAAAAUAAUGUUCGCCUGUUUAACAAAAACAUGUCUUUUAGAAAUUAAUUUAAAGUCUGACCUGCCCACUGAAAUUUUUUAAAUGGCCGCAGUAUAUUAACUGUGCAAAGGUAGCAUAAUCAUUAGUCUUUUAAUUGAAGGCUGGAAUGAAUGGUUGGACGAAAUAUUAACUGUUUCAUUUAAAUUUAUAAUAAAAUUUUAUUUUUUAGUUAAAAAGCUAAAAUAAAUUUAAAAGACGAGAAGACCCUAUGAAUCUUUAUAUAUUAUUUAUUUUAAUUUUGUAGAUUAAUUUAAUUAUAAUAAUAUAAAUAUAUUUUAUUGGGGUGAUAUUAAAAUUUAAAUAACUUUUAAAAUUUAAAUCAUUGAUUUAUGAAUAAAUGAUCCAUUUUUAAUGAUUAAAAAUUUAAGUUACUCUAGGGAUAACAGCGUAAUUUUUUUGGAGAGUUCAUAUCGAUAAAAAAGAUUGCGACCUCGAUGUUGGAUUAAGAAAUAAUUUUAGGUGUAGCCGUUUAAAUUUAAAGUCUGUUCGACUUUUAAAAUCUUACAUGAUCUGAGUUCAAACCGGCGUAAGCCAGGUUGGUUUCUAUCUUUAAUAAAUUGAUAUAUUUUAGUACGAAAGGAUUGAAUAUAUAAAUAAUAAUAUUUUAUGAAUGAGAAUAUAAAUAAUUUUUUAUAA